RNAcentral lists this ribosomal RNA (497 nucleotides) under uncultured bacterium. Its description in RNAcentral is "partial 16S ribosomal RNA". It matches the Rfam family "Bacterial small subunit ribosomal RNA", at positions 28 to 507 of the family's 1533-position model. The record is from RNAcentral.
GACGAACGCUGGCGGCGUGCCUAAUACAUGCAAGUAGAACGCUGAAGAGAGGAGCUUGCUCUUCUUGGAUGAGUUGCGAACGGGUGAGUAACGCGUAGGUAACCUGCCUUGUAGCGGGGGAUAACUAGUGGAAACGAUAGCUAAUACCGCAUAACAAUGGAUGACACAUGUCAUUUAUUUGAAAGGGGCAAUUGCUCCACUACAAGAUGGACCUGCGUUGUAUUAGCUAGUAGGUGAGGUAAUGGCUCACCUAGGCGACGAUACAUAGCCGACCUGAGAGGGUGAUCGGCCACACUGGGACUGAGACACGGCCCAGACUCCUACGGGAGGCAGCAGUAGGGAAUCUUCGGCAAUGGGGGCAACCCUGACCGAGCAACGCCGCGUGAGUGAAGAAGGUUUUCGGAUCGUAAAGCUCUGUUGUAAGUGAAGAACGGGUGUGAGAGUGGAAAGUUCACACUGUGACGGUAGCUUACCAGAAAGGGACGGCUAACUACGUG